This 115-nucleotide ribosomal RNA is filed under the name Echinops telfairi (small Madagascar hedgehog). The record is from RNAcentral. Lineage: Eukaryota; Metazoa; Chordata; Mammalia; Afrosoricida; Tenrecidae.
CUUUACCAUCAUACCAUCCUGAAUGAGUCUGAUGUCCUCUGAUUUUGGAAGCUAAACAAGAUUAGGGCUGGUUAGCAUUUGGGGUACUGCCUGGGAAUAACUGGUGUUUUAGGCU